This is a long non-coding RNA of Strigops habroptila (Kakapo), 528 nucleotides long. RefSeq lists it as uncharacterized. The record is from RefSeq and is a predicted model, not a curated record. NCBI's taxonomy places the organism in Eukaryota, Metazoa, Chordata, Aves, Psittaciformes, Psittacidae. The transcript is spliced from 3 exons.
CUUUUGGAAUAAACACUCUUAGGCAUAUGUAGGUAUUCAUGUGGCUUGGUACCUUUUGCCUGAGACCCCUUCAAGCUAUAUAAUACACCUGACAGACUAUACUGUUAUCUGUAUCUUAAGCAUCCAUUUCCAACACCCUAUCAGAGAAAAGAUCUUGUUUAUUCCAAAACACAGAUUUGUCAAUCCCAAAUAAUCUUUGCUUGGCUAAGGAAGUUUGUGAGAAAGAGGAACAGCUGUCAGAAAAGGAAUAUCAAAAUACAAAAGGCUAACUUAUCUUUCUUUCCAGAGGCAGCAGUGAUCCAUUUAAUACUGCCUUAUCUGCAUGGCUGUAUGUUUCCAAGAUUAGGUAAAGAGCUGCAGAUUCUGCUAAAGAAUAUCAGAAGAAAAUUUUCUGAGUUAUGUAGUCUUUUCCAGCUGAGGAUCCCCUGCUCCAUUCCCGUCUCACACACACAUACCUUCAUUGCAAGGCAACCUUUUAUGUACAUCUUCAGUAAUUCUUAUCUCAGUUCUUUGAGCUCUAUUAAGUGA